This 253-nucleotide ribosomal RNA is filed under the name uncultured bacterium. RNAcentral describes it as "partial 16S ribosomal RNA". It matches the Rfam family "Bacterial small subunit ribosomal RNA", at positions 524 to 776 of the family's 1533-position model. The record is from RNAcentral.
UACGGAGGGGGCUAGCGUUGUUCGGAAUCACUGGGCGUAAAGGGCGCGUAGGCGGCUUUGUAAGUCGGGGGUGAAAGCCUGUGGCUCAACCACAGAAUUGCCUUCGAUACUGCAUGGCUUGAGACCGGAAGAGGUAAGUGGAACUGCGAGUGUAGAGGUGAAAUUCGUAGAUAUUCGCAAGAACACCGGUGGCGAAGGCGGCUUACUGGUCCGGUUCUGACGCUGAGGCGCGAAAGCGUGGGGAGCAAACAGG